AUCUUUCUAGUAUUAAUAUUAGUAUAGGUGACUUCCAAUCACACGGCCUUGGUUAAAAUCCAAGGAAAGAUA
This 72-nucleotide transfer RNA is filed under the name Galaxias gollumoides (Gollum galaxias). RNAcentral's name for it is "tRNA-Gly". It matches the Rfam family "tRNA". Rfam says of the family: Transfer RNA (tRNA) molecules are approximately 80 nucleotides in length. Their secondary structure includes four short double-helical elements and three loops (D, anti-codon, and T loops). Lineage: Eukaryota; Metazoa; Chordata; Actinopteri; Galaxiiformes; Galaxiidae. The record is from RNAcentral.